CUCCCCUGGCAAUGGGCGAAGAGACAUUUUGGUGGUGGUGGUGUUCUUCUCUCAGUCAGGGGCAGAGCGGAUGACAGCCCUCUGUUCAUCCUAGCUUGAUGCCCGGCUUGGUGGCCAAGGCUGUUUAACACCUAGGACACCUAA
Molecule: small nucleolar RNA, 144 nt
Organism: Psammomys obesus (fat sand rat)
Lineage: Eukaryota; Metazoa; Chordata; Mammalia; Rodentia; Muridae
Product: small nucleolar RNA SNORA48
Exons: 1
Source: RefSeq, a predicted model, not a curated record